This 274-nucleotide ribosomal RNA is filed under the name uncultured bacterium. Its description in RNAcentral is "partial 16S ribosomal RNA". It matches the Rfam family "Bacterial small subunit ribosomal RNA", at positions 523 to 796 of the family's 1533-position model. The record is from RNAcentral.
AUACGAAGGGGGCAAGCGUUGUUCGGAAUAACUGGGCGUAAAGCGCACGUAGGCGGAAUGUUAAGUUAGAGGUGAAAUCCCAGGGCUCAACCCUGGAACUGCCUUUAAUACUGGCAAUCUAGAGACCGAGAGAGGUGAGUGGAAUUCCGAGUGUAGAGGUGAAAUUCGUAGAUAUUCGGAGGAACACCAGUGGCGAAGGCGGCUCACUGGCUCGGUACUGACGCUGAGGUGCGAAAGCGUGCGGAGCAAACAGGAUUAGAAACCCCAGUAGUCC